GAUUUCUGGUUUAAUGCACCUGGCCCGCGGCCACUAGGCUUUUUACCAUCCUUCUAGAAAACGUUUCUGCCAUUCACUUGGUGGGAUCGCGAUCUAGAUCUUUUACUUUGAAAAAAUUAGAGUGUUUAAAGCAGGCUUUUGCUAUGAAUACAUUAGCAUGGAAUAAUAAUCUAGGACUUCGGUUCUAUUUUGUUGGUUUCUAUAACUGAAGUAAUGAUUGAUAGGGAUAGUUGGGGGUGCUAGUAUUGGCCGGCCAGAGGUGAAAUUCUUGGAUUCGGUCAAGACUAACUUAUGCGAAAGCAUU
Molecule: ribosomal RNA, 304 nt
Filed under: uncultured Rhogostoma
Lineage: Eukaryota; Cercozoa; Thecofilosea; Cryomonadida
Description: bacterial SSU rRNA
Rfam family: Eukaryotic small subunit ribosomal RNA (bases 34-304)
Source: RNAcentral